This 719-nucleotide ribosomal RNA is filed under the name uncultured Candidatus Pelagibacter sp. RNAcentral's name for it is "bacterial SSU rRNA". It matches the Rfam family "Bacterial small subunit ribosomal RNA", at positions 56 to 821 of the family's 1533-position model. Lineage: Bacteria; Pseudomonadati; Pseudomonadota; Alphaproteobacteria; Candidatus Pelagibacterales; Candidatus Pelagibacteraceae. The record is from RNAcentral.
UGCAGUCGAACGAAGUAGCAAUACUUAGUGGCAAACGGGUGAGUAAUAUGUGGAAAUCUGCCCUUCGGUCUGGAAUAACAUGGGGAAACUUAUGCUAAUACCGGAUAAGCCUUUACAGGGAAAGCUUUAUGCUCCGAUGGAUGAGUCCACACUUGAUUAGUUUGUUGGUGGGGUAAUGGCCUACCAAGACUGUGAUCAAUAGCUGAUUUGAGAGGAUGAUCAGCCACAUUGGGACUGAGACACGGCCCAAACUCCUACGGGAGGCAGCAGUGGGGAAUCUUGCACAAUGGGGGAAACCCUGAUGCAGCGAUGCCGCGUGAGUGAAGAAGGCCUUUGGGUUGUAAAGCUCUUUCGUCGGGGAAGAAAAUGACUGUACCCGAAUAAGAAGGUCCGGCUAACUUCGUGCCAGCAGCCGCGGUAAUACGAAGGGAUCUAGCGUAGUUCGGAAUUACUGGGCUUAAAGAGUUCGUAGGUGGUUAAAAAAGUUGGUGGUGAAAUCCCAGAGCUUAACUCUGGAACUGCCAUCAAAACUUUUUAGCUAGAGUAUGAUAGAGGAAAGCAGAAUUUCUAGUGUAGAGGUGAAAUUCGUAGAUAUUAGAAAGAAUACCAAUUGCGAAGGCAGCUUUCUGGGUCAUUACUGACACUGAGGAACGAAAGCAUGGGUAGCGAAGAGGAUUAGAUACCCUCGUAGUCCAUGCUGUAAACGAUGUGUGCUAGAC